Molecule: long non-coding RNA, 417 nt
Organism: Cuculus canorus (common cuckoo)
Lineage: Eukaryota; Metazoa; Chordata; Aves; Cuculiformes; Cuculidae
Exons: 3
Source: RefSeq, a predicted model, not a curated record
GGGUUCUCCGAUCACCCUGUUUUCUACCAACCUUUCUGAAUAUUAUUUAUUAUUCCUUAUGUAUCUGGAUGGAAAAGAGGAAGAGGGACAGUAUGGCAGAGAUGGGAAACAUGAGCCGGAAAACAUGCUUGACUUGAAUUGUCAUCACACUGCCAUUGGAAGGAGAGAGCCGGAAAACUAGCAACAAACACUUGCACGCAAAUACACGCCAGGCACACACCACAUCGAUCACGACAACAAUUCUGAUCUCCAGUCUAAGACUAUAUGGACUACUUGACUCAAAGGGCCUUCCUACCACUCAAAAACUGAAGUCACUGACACUCCAAAGUCCAUUUACACAGUGGUAAGAUGCAAACUGCUAAGACGUUAUUGUCUUCCUUGAAUCAAGGUGGAAGUGUAAUGGUAUGAAGAUCAGGG